CUUUUCUGUGGCUGUGGAUAUGUAGUCUGGCUCUCUUGUGAGGCUGGGAAGUGACAGGCGGCCACAGUUCCCAGUGGACCAUGUGAUGGGGACAGGCAACAAUGAGACCCUACAGGGUACUGAACUGCUAAGCCGUGAUUAUGGGGAGGCUGGGUCUAUGAGCUGCAUCUUCAAUGGUGCUCUUAAUGUACAAUAAACUUACCAGAACCUAGACCCAUCAUCAGCCAGGAAGCAUCUAUGUAUUCAAAAGAAUGCACCUUCUUCCCAAGGCUGCCUCUCUCUCUCUGACUGCUCAAGGAUACCUAGGUCUGUGUGCCCAUCUUUGGUACCUCUGCUUAGAGAACUGGAGUGAAGACCUUACUGAGAGUCACUCGUGGUCGGAGGAGGAAGUGGGCCCUGUACCAACCAGUGUAUAACACAGCCGUGGGAACCUUGCAGAUGGCUCUGAAGACGGCAGAGGAUGACAGAGGCUUUCUCUCAGCUACUCCCAGGGCUAUUGUUCAAGAUGGUCCAGGGCCUUCUGUGGCCAUUCUUCCAGUGCUGAGCUCGCUAGGGCUCCUGCUCAACCUCUUCAGACUGCAUUAGAGCUUUGGUCCCUUUUCAUCCCUCAUUCUGAAGUGGGGCUGCAUGAGGUGAGGUGGUGGGAGGGGAGGGGGGGCUGUCCAGCACUUGACAGCUGCCUUUUCUCUUUAUGCUCUAGAAACACCGAAUGCUUCUAGAAGCAAGAAGUGCAUUUCUGGACAGUGACAGGAUAAUCAAGAAGAGACCAGGAUAGAAGAUGCUGUCUUAAAGCGAUGGCCCGAGAAAUGGUGGUCAGGGAAGUAUCCUCAGGAGCUGUCAAAGCACAAGGAGGGAUCCCUGGAUGAAGCCCAGAGCUGGAGCUCGUGGAGCUAUUAGUGAGGACUACGCCCUCCUGAGGACCCAGUGCUCAGCCAGAGUAGACUAAAGCACGGCAAGUGGAACCCCAGUGGCUUCACAUUGCACAUUCACAGCACUGGUUCAUGAAGGACAGGUAAGAUGACCUCUGCCGGCCUUGUGACUUCCCAAGACUCUAGUUGGCAUCUCUCCCUCCCGAAGCCAGGCUGAAUGAAGACCCAGUUGGAAUGCAGGCGGCUUCUCACCAUGGCAGGAAAAUUGCAGGGUCAGUGUGUGGGCAGCCACAGUGACCAUCUCACGGCAGGACGGAAGCAGCUUUGCUGACUGAGAGUCUGCGGCCUGAACAUCCCAGCCGUGCAGGUCUGAGGAUGGAGGCUGAAGGUAAAGAAGGCAGGGAGACGUCCAGGAACCAGUUCCAAGAGCAAAUGGCCUGGGAGAGGCUUGUGGAUUCACUCCAAAAAUAAGUCAGUCACUUAUUUUUGCCAUGCCAUAGCUGAUCCAGCCCUGUCCUCCUAAGAGACACGUGCUAAAGGCUGGAUCCCCAGAGAGGUGCUGGUGAGAAACAGUAUACCUUUAGGGAUGGGUUCUGUGGGAUGUCUUUAAAUCCUGAGGGAGUGUGGGACCCCGGCAACCUCCUGAUUCACCCAGUCUUCUGUUUUGCACCUCGAGUGUGGGGAGAUGGAUGCUGUCUCUCUGCCACAGGUCCACAGUCUUCAGGGCGGUAAUGGAUCAAGGCCUCUAAGACUGAGCCAAGGGCAAACACUUCAAGUGCUUUGUUCUAGAGAGAAAGGCUGACUACUAACACAGCUUCAGCCCCCAGCCCCCUCCUGCCCUGUUGCAAGCCUAUGCUUUGCUCCCCUUUGAGGACUUAACACCCCUAUCCUAGGGGCUCUUUCUCUGCUCUACCCAACCAACCCUCGUCUUUCAGCUUAAAGCCUCCUUCCUCAGGAGUCUCUCCAGCAGCCAUACUGGAUGCAAUUAGGCUUGUUAGUUGGGGGUUUGUGGUUUUUUUUCUGGUAUUGGGAAUUGAACUCAUGUAUGUUCUACCACUGAGAUACAUCCGCAGCCCUGGAUUUUAGAACUGAGACAAAUUCAUACUGUCUGCCUCUCUCCCUAGGCUGCAAGCCUGGUGGAGGUGGUGUCUAUCUCUUUUCCUCAUGACUGUACCACUACAAACCUUCACAGAGCCUGCCACAGAGUCUAUGCCCAAUAAAUCCUUAUGAAAUGA
Long non-coding RNA from Rattus norvegicus (Norway rat), 2104 nucleotides. RefSeq lists it as uncharacterized. The record is from RefSeq and is a predicted model, not a curated record. Lineage: Eukaryota; Metazoa; Chordata; Mammalia; Rodentia; Muridae.